RNAcentral lists this ribosomal RNA (354 nucleotides) under uncultured bacterium. Its description in RNAcentral is "bacterial SSU rRNA". It matches the Rfam family "Bacterial small subunit ribosomal RNA", at positions 8 to 350 of the family's 1533-position model. The record is from RNAcentral.
AGAGUUUGAUCAUGGCUCAGGAUGAACGCUAGCUACAGGCUUAACACAUGCAAGUCGAGGGGAAACGAUAUUGGAAGCUUGCUUCCGAUAGGCGUCGACCGGCGCACGGGUGAGUAACGCGUAUCCAACCUGCCCACCACUUGGGGAUAACCUUGCGAAAGUAAGACUAAUACCCAAUGACGUCUCUAGAAGACAUCUGAAAGAGAUUAAAGAUUUAUCGGUGAUGGAUGGGGAUGCGUCUGAUUAGCUUGUUGGCGGGGUAACGGCCACCAAGGCUACGAUCAGUAGGGGUUCUGAGAGGAACGGUCCCCCACACUUGGAACUGAGACACGGUACCAACUCCUACGGGAGCGA